RNAcentral lists this ribosomal RNA (503 nucleotides) under uncultured bacterium. RNAcentral's name for it is "bacterial SSU rRNA". It matches the Rfam family "Bacterial small subunit ribosomal RNA", at positions 28 to 524 of the family's 1533-position model. The record is from RNAcentral.
GAUGAACGCUAGCGGGAGGCUUAACACAUGCAAGUCGCGGGGCAGCAUGAUGUAGCAAUACAUUGAUGGCGACCGGCGCACGGGUGAGUAACGCGUAUGCAACCUGCCCAGUACAGGGGGAUAGCCCGGAGAAAUUCGGAUUAAUACCCCAUAAUGAUAAGAGAUGGCAUCAUUUUUUAUUUAAAGUUACGGCGGUACUGGAUGGGCAUGCGUGACAUUAGCUAGUUGGUAGGGUAACGGCCUACCAAGGCAUCGAUGUCUAGGGGUCCUGAGAGGGUGAUCCCCCACACUGGUACUGAGACACGGACCAGACUCCUACGGGAGGCAGCAGUGAGGAAUAUUGGUCAACGGGCGCAAGCCUGAACCAGCCAUCCCGCGUGAAGGAAGAAUGCGCUAUGCGUUGUAAACUUCUUUUCCAGGGGAAUAAAAUUUCGUACGAGUGCGGGACUGAAGGUACCUUGGGAAUAAGCAUCGGCUAACUCCGUGCCAGCAGCCGCGGUAAU